CUGGGCCGCUCAGAUGGAGUCUUGGCCUGAAGGACCCGGCCAGAGAGGUCCCAUCCCUCUGCGAGGCUCCAACCGCUCGGCUAUUGCUCCCAAGCAGGCAGACAUGGACCACACAGACCUGCCAGGGCUCAGACCCUCCCCGGACCUGGCCUCAGCCCUGCGUCACGGGGACACAGGACUCGGGGGUGUGGUGGCCCUGCAAGGACAGAGGACGCGGAUUGGGGAUGGCAGCGGGCCCUGAGCCCUGCUCGGCGGCUCCAGCAGCCUUUGCAGGAUGCACAUGUCUUUUAAAUUAACAUCUUCCAAAUCUCCUGGCCAACAUGGAAAAUAUCUACUCUAACAAGGGCCAGGAACUAAUUAUACCCCGGCACCGGGAAGUGCUCAGGGACACUGGUGCUGGCCCGUGUCACUGGGGCCCUGCCCUUCCUCCCUGGCCUUGCACACAGUCCUCCUCAUGCAGCAUGACACCGAGRGCCAUCACGGCAUCGCUGAAAGCUCAGGGCCAGCUGGGGGGACACGGUGACACACCGGCACGUCCGGCAGUGGCUGGACACGGCGAUUGGUCCUGUCCCCAGCAGCUCCCUGGUAAAUCAGCUCUGGCUGUGUCUGGGGACUCGAGGGGCCGUUGCGGGCUCUGCCCGGGCUCCUUGGAGAUGUCCAAGGCAUGCCGAUCCCGCUGGCCGGUGGGAGUUGGGKGUCCAAAUAGCGCAGGUGUAAUAAUGAUGGUCAUCUCAGCGGGAUGCGGGGACAAACUCCGGCACACGUGUGGCCAAGCAGGCUACGAGCCAGCGUCGGGGUUAGGAGCCAGGCAGGGCUGUGGGGCCCAGCUGGCUUUGGGGCAUCUUUGGGGACGGUCUCAUCUCAGCCUGGACAGAUCCAGAGCGCAGCCACCCAGCACGGUGGAGGGAAGGAGCUGUCACGGACCUCGGCUGGUGCCACGUCCACAUGGAUGCUCCGCCAUGUCCUUGGACAAGGUCACCUGCUCCAGAGAGGGCUCAGCCCCGGCUCCCCGUGUCCCUGCGCUCAGUCCCACGGAGCAUCCUGGGGCUAGUGCUGCCCCAGGCCUUGGCCGCGGCGCACGCUGGGUGCAGCCAGCACCCGUGCCCGGGGAGCGGGCAGGGGCCGUCGGGCCAAGCCGGGGCCCGGCUGGCGUCGCGAUGCCUUCG
RNAcentral lists this long non-coding RNA (1166 nucleotides) under Dromaius novaehollandiae (emu). RNAcentral describes it as "lncRNA (ENSDNVG00000001376.1)". The record is from RNAcentral. Lineage: Eukaryota; Metazoa; Chordata; Aves; Casuariiformes; Dromaiidae.